Molecule: small nuclear RNA, 191 nt
Filed under: Prolemur simus (greater bamboo lemur)
Lineage: Eukaryota; Metazoa; Chordata; Mammalia; Primates; Lemuridae
Description: U2 spliceosomal RNA (ENSPSMG00000019320.1)
Rfam family: U2 spliceosomal RNA
About the family: U2 is a small nuclear RNA (snRNA) component of the spliceosome (involved in pre-mRNA splicing). Complementary binding between U2 snRNA (in an area lying towards the 5' end but 3' to hairpin I) and the branchpoint sequence (BPS) of the intron results the bulging out of an unpaired adenosine, on the BPS, which initiates a nucleophilic attack at the intronic 5' splice site, thus starting the first of two transesterification reactions that mediate splicing.
Source: Rfam by way of RNAcentral
AUCAUUUCUCAGCCUUUUGGCUAAGAACAAGUGUAGCAUCUAUUCUUAUCAGUUUAAUAUCUGAUACGUCCUCUAUGCGAGAACAAUAUAUUAAAUGGAUUUUUGGAGCAAGGAGAUGGAAUAGGAGCUUGCUCCAUCCACUCCAUGCAUUAACCUGGUAUUGCACUAAUUCCAGGAACGGUGCACCCCUU